CCUACGUGAGGCAGCAGUGAGGAAUAUUGGUCAAUGGGCGCGAGCCUGAACCAGCCAAGUAGCGUGAAGGAUGACUGCCCUACGGGUUGUAAACUUCUUUUAUAAAGGAAUAAAGUGAGGCACGUGUGCCUUUUUGUAUGUACUUUAUGAAUAAGGAUCGGCUAACUCCGUACCAGCAGCCGCGGUAAUACGGAGGAUCCGAGCGUUAUCCGGAUUUAUUGGGUUUAAAGGGAGCGUAGUUGGGUUGUUAAGUCAGUUGUGAAAGUUUGCGGCUCAACCGUAAGAUUGCAAUUGAUACUGGCAGUCUUGAGUACAGUUGAGGUAGGCGGAAUUCGUGGUGUAGCGGUGAAAUGCUUAGAUAUCACGAAGAACUCCGAUUGCGAAGGCAGCUUACUAAACUGCCACUGACAUUGAUGCUCGAAAGUGUGGGUAUCAAACAGGAUUAGAUACCCGAGUAGUC
This 460-nucleotide ribosomal RNA is filed under the name uncultured bacterium. Its description in RNAcentral is "partial 16S ribosomal RNA". It matches the Rfam family "Bacterial small subunit ribosomal RNA", at positions 338 to 795 of the family's 1533-position model. The record is from RNAcentral.